Molecule: ribosomal RNA, 465 nt
Filed under: uncultured bacterium
Lineage: Bacteria
Description: partial 16S ribosomal RNA
Rfam family: Bacterial small subunit ribosomal RNA
Source: RNAcentral
GACGAACGCUGGCGGCGUGCUUAACACAUGCAAGUCGAACGGAAAGGCCCCUUUGGGGGUACUCGAGUGGCGAACGGGUGAGUAACACGUGAGUAACCUGCCCUUGACUUCGGGAUAACUUCAGGAAACUGGGGCUAAUACCGGAUAGGAAUCCUUGCUGCAUGGUGGGGGUUGGAAAGCUUCGGCGGUUUUGGAUGGACUCGCGGCUUAUCAGCUUGUUGGUGGGGUAGUGGCUUACCAAGGCUUUGACGGGGAGCCGGCCGGAGGAGGCGACCGGCCACAUUGGGACUUAGAUACGGCCCAGACUCCUACGGGGGGCAGCAGGGGGGAAGAUUGCACAAUGGGCGGAAGCCUGAUGCAGCAACGCCGCGGGCGGGAGGACGGCCUUCGGGUUGGAAACCGCUUUCAGCAGGGGCGAAGCUUGUGGUGACGGUACCUGCAGAAGAAGCACCGGCUAACUACGUG